GAGGCGGUAUCCGUCCGGAACCGCACUCCGCACGCAUCAGUAGAUUGAUCGAUCGAAUACGACGAACCGUUCGCUUGAGAACGCGCACUCUGCUCUGAGCCGUUAAGGACCGAGACAGAAGG
This is a non-coding RNA of Paenibacillus darwinianus, 122 nucleotides long. NCBI's taxonomy places the organism in Bacteria, Bacillati, Bacillota, Bacilli, Caryophanales, Paenibacillaceae. The record is from Rfam.